UACGAAGGGGGCUAGCGUUGCUCGGAAUCACUGGGCGUAAAGCGCACGUAGGCGGAUUGUUAAGUUAGGGGUGAAAUCCUGGAGCUCAACUCCAGAACUGCCUUUGAUACUGGCGAUCUUGAGUCCGGGAGAGGUGAGUGGAACUGCGAGUGUAGAGGUGAAAUUCGUAGAUAUUCGCAAGAACACCAGUGGCGAAGGCGGCUCACUGGCCCGGUACUGACGCUGAGGUGCGAAAGCGUGGGGAGCAAACAGG
RNAcentral lists this ribosomal RNA (253 nucleotides) under uncultured bacterium. Its description in RNAcentral is "partial 16S ribosomal RNA". It matches the Rfam family "Bacterial small subunit ribosomal RNA", at positions 524 to 776 of the family's 1533-position model. The record is from RNAcentral.